RNAcentral lists this long non-coding RNA (1152 nucleotides) under Mus musculus (house mouse). RNAcentral describes it as "predicted gene, 49953". The record is from RNAcentral. Lineage: Eukaryota; Metazoa; Chordata; Mammalia; Rodentia; Muridae.
GGUGUCAGGCACUUGUCUCUGGGAACAUGGCUCACUGUUCUGUCCCUUGUAGAGUUUCCUACUGGGUCUCUGGAGCAAGACUCAUUCAACCAAAACAGGCUGCCUUUCAUGGCCCCACAGUCCUUUAUAAGACUUGCCUUGGUCAUGGUGUCUGUUCACAGCAGUAAAACCCUAAGACACGUGGUUACAAUCAGCUAUUAUCUGCUUUGCAGAUACAAGGGCGAGCACAGGCAGAAGCAGAGACGUCUGGGAGAAUCCAGAGUGGACAGGACCAUGACUGACCAACUAGGUACGGCCAUGUCCAGUGCAACAGCAGACACCAAACAGGAAUCAGCAACAGCAGCACACUCCACCAGAAACAGCAAGGUUCUGCCAAAUCAGCACGAGUCAGUGGAAGUGGCCAAAGUCAGCUGGAAUACCACGAGAAGUUCUUUGCUCUGCCCAAAGCUGGGCUGUGAACUGAAUUGGGCAGAACUGGAAUUUAUGAUUUGAGCACUUCCACACAAACCUCCUUCACACCACCCUGCUCUGCAGUGAAAGUCUAAGAAGCUGAGAGGAACUAAGUCCUGAGAGGGAACCAGUCCCUGAAGCACGUGGUGAGCAUAAGAAAAACAACAAAGCUUCAUCCAGCAUCCACAGCACCAGCACACGUGACUGCUGCAGCGGCCACUGAGAGCGAGAGGGAAAUAUCAGCCCCGGGGAAGAGUAGGAAGCGGUGGCCACAAGGCAGCCUGAAUGCUGGUUUAUCACUUUGGAAUUCAGCUCCACUCAAGCUUUUCAGGAGAUGGGCAGAAGGCAGCAGCAGAGUCUUUUCCAAACUGUAACACGAGUGCCCGUAGUCGGAUUUCCAAGCCUGUCUGAACCUUGGGAACCUGGGGCUCCAUGUCUCUCUCAGCACUCUGGACUUCUGAACUCCUACCAGAAUAUCUCUUUAAGCCCUAAUUACAGCAUCCACAGCUUCUCUGACCUGCAGCUUCAAACUUUUCCAUGAUCUAGUUCCAUAAGUCUAUGAACCAUAUGAGUCGGGUUUAUCACAGUGACAGCCCUACUUCUGGUACUAUUUUUUUGUAUUAGUUACUUAGCUUGUUGGUGUCACAAAAUACCUAAUAAAAGCAAGCUACAAGAGGAAGGGCAAGAAAAGAAAAAAAAAAA